Molecule: long non-coding RNA, 2730 nt
Organism: Ictalurus punctatus (channel catfish)
Lineage: Eukaryota; Metazoa; Chordata; Actinopteri; Siluriformes; Ictaluridae
Source: Ensembl
CUAAAAAAAAUAUUUAAUUUACCCUAUGUAUGGAGACACUUUUGGGACACCCUGUAAAAAUGUACAGCAAUUGUAAAUGUAACAACUAACCUUACCUAGCUACUCAGCGUCUAGUUAAACGAAUGUCAUAACCCCAUGUUACAAGCAUUACAGACUGAGCCACUGGUAGUGGUUUAAUAUUGAAUCAAGGCAAACAGCUUUCAGAAAAAUGGACUAUUACCAAUGGGUAAGCAUGAAUGUGCUACAGACUGAUUGCUAGUUAGCUAUUUUAGCAUUACACAACUAGCUAAAUAACUAUCUAGGUAGUUAGUUAGUUAAUGCUAUUAGAUGUAAUUAGAUACCAUUAAUGAUAAUGAGCUUUGCACUUCAGUGAAGACUGUUUUCUCUAAGUAACUAUAACUAGUGUAAGUAACCAAAUAUAUAAAGUGUCAUGAGGUAAAAUAUCAUUCCUAGCUAACAUUACUAUUUACCUGACAGAAACUUGUUUCUCCUCUUGCUCUCUCUCAGAUCAGGGAUUGUGCAACAAUAUGGUAGUUAGUUAAAUAGAUAGAGAAGUAAUCCCAGAGGAAAAUUCACAAUUAGCACACAAUCUAACCCCACCCCCCCCCCCCCCCCCCCCCCCCCCCCCCUACACACACACACACACACACACACACAAUUAGUAGUGUAAUGUAUAAAUAGUGCACUGUAUUUUAAAUAAUGUAUCAAAUGCUAGUGGUGUUAUUUUAUGUCACCCAAAAUCCCAUAGUGUGUCACAUAUUACACUGUACUGUAUUUUAUUGGCAAAUACACACUUUAUGUAACUGAAUAAAAAUGCAGCUCACAGGGUUUACAGUGCAAUCUGAAUUUAAGACUUUCAUGGCAAAGUUCAACUUCUGAAGGUCCAAAAAUUGACUGAUGAACUAACUCUACGUCUGCAUAGAUUACAUAAUAAUGAUUAUCCACUACCAGAGUCACUUUUUUACUGAUAGAAAUGGGUCACUGGGGCAUCUGGAUUCUGAAGUGGGAAGAAAAAACCGAGAAGGUAAAAAGAGAGCUCAAGAGAAGAAAAGAAAAGGAGAGAGAGAGAGAAUUAAAGAGAGAAUAAGAAAUGGGACGAAAGAGAGAGCAAAGGAAUUCGGGUGGGUGGAGGAAAGGACUGCAGAAUCUGUGAGUCUUUGAGGCUACUGAGACGUAGAGCAGAUGUGGACUGCCAAACCUUUCACAGUAUAGGUCCUAGUGUGCUGUUGCCUAUGGAAGCAACCAGGGUCGUGGGAAGCCUGGAGCCUUUCCCAGGGGAUUCGGGGCACAAGACAGGGGACACGCUGGACACCCAUCGCAGGACACAUUCACACACACAUUCACAUACUACGGACCAUUUAGAGAUGCAAAUCUGCCUACAGUGUAUAUCUUUGGACUGGGGGAGGAAACUGGAGUACCCGGAGGAAACCUUUGAAGCACAGGGAGAGCAUGCUCUGUGCACACAGGGUGGAGGAGGAAUUCGAACCCCCCAUCCCUGGAGGUGCGAAGCAAAUGUGCUAACCACUAAACCACCAAAUAAUAACUCAACAAUUCUAAUGAAACUCUUAUCAGUCUUUAAGCUAAAUAACCAAACUGUAACACUAUUUAUGUGUUCAGAUAUUGCCAUUUAUCAAGAACAAAAAGAAGCAACAGCAACAAUAUUAUAUUCAGGAUGUACUUUUCUUGUACAAUUUUGUUUUAUAACACUGAUUUGUUGUUCUGUUCUAUACAGUAUGUACACUUUGUUCAUCAUUAAAUAUAUAUAUAUAUAUAUAUAUAUAUAUAUAUAUAUAUAUAUAUAUAUAUAUAUAUAUAUAUAUAUAUAUCAAUUAAAUAGGGGGCAGUGGGAGCAGAAAGAGCUCUGUUCACUCAGAGAAAGAUGAAGAAUGUGAUGGGGAAAGAGGAAGGAUGUAGAGAAUCAGGUUGCUUAAUAUAGACAAACAUUUUCAGUAUCUGUCACAGUCCCUAAAGCCUCAGUAAUGUGUACCAUGGGAUUAACACUCCUGUGUUUAUGAGCACACACACACACACACAUUAGUAAAAUCCAACAGUUCUCAUCAGUGUGUGACUGUGGACUCUCUGACCUUACUGUGAGAGUAAACAGCAGUCAUAAAGUAGCCAAACACGGCUAAAGCCAUGAACUAGUUUAUUAGACAUCCAUAUAUCCGGAGCUGCUCCCCAAUAAAGACGUCAUGGAUAGUGAUGAACUCUCAGCUAGUGGGAGGAAACAAUAGAGAGAGAGAGAGAGAGAGAGAGAUGAAUUAUAGGUGUACUAUAUAACUCAGUAUACUAUAUAUAGUGCAAAAUAAUAUUCUUUUCAGUGUUUCACACACUUCACAUUCCAGGUGCACCGCAACAUGGCUGCACUGGAAAAAGUGCAAAUCCUUCCCCACUUUUGUAUAUUGCACUGUGUUUAUUGUCUUCUUAUGUACUUUUUUUCAUUAUGUAUGUUUUUAUUCUGUUUUGAUCGUUUGUUUUGACUUGGGUCCAUACGGCAUAAGGAAACCCCAGCAUGCUCAGCACUUAGUCACUGACUUCAUGUCUCUUUAGUUAAUGUACAGUAUAAUUCAAAAGUUUGGACAUGCAUUGUAAUAGAGAGGGGUUUAUUUUCUCCCCCAUAUUUUCAGUAAUUUCUACCUUUUAAAAUAAUAGUGAAGACAUUCAUUGGAUCUGACUGGACGGAUCUGGAGUCUGUCCCGGGAACACUAGGGUACAGGGCACCAUGCAGAC